GGAGCAUGUGGUUUAAUUCAAUGCAAAGCGAAGAACCUUACCAGGGCUUGACAUGCCACGAAUCCUCUUGAAAGAGAGGGGUGCCCUCAGGAACACGGACACAGUGGUGCAUGGCUGUCGUCAGUUCGUGCCGUAAGGUGUUGGGUUAAGUCUCGCAACGAGCACAACCCUCGUGUUUAGUUGCCACUAUGAGUUUGGAACCCUGAACAGACCACCGGUGUUAAGCCAGAGGAAGGAGAGGAUGAGGCCAAGUCAUCAUGCCCCUUAUGCCUUGGGCGACACACAUGCUACAAUGGGUGGGACAAAGGGUCGCGAUCUUGCGAGGGUGAGCUAACUCCAAAAACCGUCCUCAGAAAAAAUGAAAUUGGCUGAUAUCAUGA
Molecule: ribosomal RNA, 380 nt
Filed under: Brachypodium distachyon (stiff brome)
Lineage: Eukaryota; Viridiplantae; Streptophyta; Magnoliopsida; Poales; Poaceae
Description: rRNA SSU_rRNA_eukarya
Rfam family: Bacterial small subunit ribosomal RNA
Source: RNAcentral